Molecule: ribosomal RNA, 497 nt
Filed under: uncultured bacterium
Lineage: Bacteria
Description: partial 16S ribosomal RNA
Rfam family: Bacterial small subunit ribosomal RNA
Source: RNAcentral
GACGAACGCUGGCGGCGUGCCUAACACAUGCAAGUCGAGCGGAGAUGAUGUGAGGAAGUUUUCGGAUGGAAUCACAUUAUUUUAGCGGCGGACGGGUGAGUAACGCGUGAGCGACCAACCUUGCACAGGGGGAUAACGGACCGAAAGGUUCACUAAUACCGCAUGAGACCACGGUGUUGCAUGACACAGGGGUCAAAGGAGCAAUCCGGUGCAAGACGGGCUCGCGUCCGAUUAGGUAGUUGGAGGGGUAACGGCCCACCAAGCCUAUGAUCGGUAGCCGACCUGAGAGGGUGAUCGGCCACAUUGGAACUGAGAUACGGUCCAAACUCCUACGGGAGGCAGCAGUGGGGAAUAUUGGGCAAUGGGGAAACCCUGACCCAGCAACGCCGCGUGAAGGAAGAAGGUUUUCGGAUUGUAAACUUCUGUCCUUGGUGAAGAGAAGAAGACGGUAGCCAAGGAGGAAGCCCCGGCUAACUACGUGCCAGCCGCCGCAGUAA